UACGAAGGGGGCUAGCGUUGCUCGGAAUCACUGGGCGUAAAGCGCACGUAGGCGGCUUUUUAAGUCAGAGGUGAAAUCCUGGAGCUCAACUCCAGAACUGCCUUUGAUACUGGAGAGCUUGAGUCCGGGAGAGGUGAGUGGAACUGCGAGUGUAGAGGUGAAAUUCGUAGAUAUUGGGAAGAACACCAGUGGCGAAGGCGGCUCACUGGUCCGAUACUGACGCUGAGGUGCGAAAGCGUGGGGAGCGAACCGG
This 253-nucleotide ribosomal RNA is filed under the name uncultured bacterium. RNAcentral describes it as "partial 16S ribosomal RNA". It matches the Rfam family "Bacterial small subunit ribosomal RNA", at positions 524 to 776 of the family's 1533-position model. The record is from RNAcentral.